UACGUAGGAGGCGAGCGUUGUCCGGAAUUACUGGGCGUAAAGAGCGCGUAGGCGGCGCGGUACGACCGCUGUGAAAGCCCCCAGCUCAACUGGGGAGGGUCAGCGGUAACGGCCGUGCUAUGAGUGCAGGAGAGGGAAGUGGAACUCCCAGUGUAGUGGUGAAAUACGUAGAGAUUGGGAAGAACACCAGUGGCGAAGGCGGCUAUCUGGACGGUUUCUGACGCUAAGACGCGAAAGCGUGGGGAGCAAACAGG
RNAcentral lists this ribosomal RNA (254 nucleotides) under uncultured bacterium. RNAcentral describes it as "partial 16S ribosomal RNA". It matches the Rfam family "Bacterial small subunit ribosomal RNA", at positions 524 to 776 of the family's 1533-position model. The record is from RNAcentral.